ACGAACGCUGGCGGCGCGCUUAACACAUGCAAGUCGCGCGAUGAAACUUUAACAGAACCCUUCGGGGCGAAGAUAAAGUGGAUUAGCGGCGGACGGGUGAGUAACACGUGAGUAACCUGCCUUAGACAUUGGGAUAGCCUCGGGAAACCGGGAUUAAUACCAAAUAAAAUCAUAAUGACACAUGUCAUAACGAUCAAAACUCCGGUGGUCUAAGAUGGACUCGCGUCCCAUUAGCUAGUUGGUAGAGUAAAAGCCUACCAAGGCGACGAUGGGUAGCCGGCCUGAGAGGGUGAACGGCCACAUUGGAACUGAGAAACGGUCCAAACUCCUACGGGAGGCAGCAGUGGGGAAUAUUGCACAAUGGAGGGAACUCUGAUGCAGCGACGCCGCGUGAACGAAGAAGGCUUUCGAGUCGUAAAGUUCUUUUAUAUGGGAAGAUAAUGACGGUACCAUAAGAAAAAGCCCCGGCUAACUACGUG
RNAcentral lists this ribosomal RNA (479 nucleotides) under uncultured bacterium. Its description in RNAcentral is "partial 16S ribosomal RNA". It matches the Rfam family "Bacterial small subunit ribosomal RNA", at positions 29 to 507 of the family's 1533-position model. The record is from RNAcentral.